RNAcentral lists this long non-coding RNA (1549 nucleotides) under Homo sapiens (human). Its description in RNAcentral is "HSALNT0181994". Lineage: Eukaryota; Metazoa; Chordata; Mammalia; Primates; Hominidae. The record is from RNAcentral.
CCUCCCUUUGCCAGCCUUGUAAUGGGGCGGCGGAGGGGACCAGCCACCGGUUGGGCAGAAGCAGCCGGCGUCGGCCUGGGAUUGGACCACGUCACGGGGCCAGCGCGCUCCACUCCUUCCUCCCCAGCGCCGGCCCCGGGGCGACCGCGGGACCUUUUCCGGCGCUGGAUGCUUUGCUGCCGGGGUUCGGGAGUGACCUGCGCCUAGAGCAGGUCGGGCGCACUGCAGUCCCGCACUCGGGGCUCUUCUUCCGGUCACCUGUAGAGCCCGGCCGAGGAAUGGAAUAACAGGCGUCCUGUCCGCAGCCCCGCGGAGGGGGCGCUGGCCUGCCGCUCCAUAGAAAUGUGCGCAGUCGCCCGGGCGCGGUGGCUCACGCCUGUAAUCCCAGCAUUUUGGGAGGCCAAGGCGGGCGAAUCACUGGAGGUCAGGAGUUCGAGACCAGCCUGGCCAACAUGGUGAAACCCCGUCUCUACCAAAACUACAAAAAUUAGCCAGGCGUGGUGGCGGGUGCCUGUAAUCCCAGCUACUCACGAGGCUGAGGCAGGAGAAUUGCUUGAAUCCGGGAGGCAGAGGUUGCUGUGAGCCCAGACUGCGCCACUGCACUCCAGCCUGGGCGACAACAGCGAGACUCCUUCUCGAAAAAGAAAUGUACGCAGUCCUUGGAGACUGCAUUUUCCUUAAGUGUGGAUGGAAAUAAGUCAUCUGUUUUCUCUCCUACUAAGUUGAUGCCUGGCCACCCUUCACAGAAAGGCCCGCUUGAAGACCCUGGCUGUCAGGGCCAGGGUUGUGUCAAGCCUGAACUUGUUUAAGGAGCUCUUAGCUCUUCCUUUCUCUACAUUUUUCGUGAUGCUUAGGUGGAGAGUGGUCCGGUGUCUAUGCUUAGAAGGAAAAAUUAUUGGCAGUCCCAGAGAGAGUCUAUUCUUCCUUUUUUUUUUUUUUUUUUUUUUAUUGAUCAUUCUUGGGUGUUUCUGGCAGAGGGGGAUUUGGCAGGGUCAUAGGACAAUAGUGGAGGGAAGGUCAGCAGAUAAACAAGUGAACAAAGGUCUCUGGCUUUCCUAGGCAGAGGACCCUGCGGCCUUCCGCAGUGUUUGUGUCCCUGGGUACUUGAGAUUAGGGAGUGGUGAUGACUCCUAACGAGCAUGCUGCCUUCAAGCAUCUGUUUAACAAAGCACAUCUUGCACCGCCCUUAAUCCAUUUAACCCUGAGUGGACACAGCACAUGUUUCAGAGAGCACAGGGUUGGGGGUAAGGUCAUAGAUCAACAGCAUCCCAAGGCAGAAGAAUUUUUCUUAGUACAGAACAAAAUGAAGUCUCCCAUGUCUACUUCUUUCCACACAGACACAGCAACAAUCCGAUCUCUAUCUUUUCCCCACCUUUCCCCCUUUUCUAUUCCACAAAACCACCAUUGUCAUCAUGGCCCGUUCUCAAUGAGCUGUUGGGUACACCUCCUAGACGGGGUGGUGGCCGGGCAGAGGGGCUCCUCACCUCCCAGAAGGGGCGGCCGGGCAGAGGCGCCCCCCACCUCCCGGACGGGGCGGCGGCCGGGCGGA